This 25-nucleotide microRNA is filed under the name Oreochromis niloticus (Nile tilapia). RNAcentral's name for it is "oni-miR-6960". The record is from miRBase by way of RNAcentral. Lineage: Eukaryota; Metazoa; Chordata; Actinopteri; Cichliformes; Cichlidae.
AAUGAUCAGGAUGAGAUGGUUUGGC